UUAGUACUCUUCCAUGCAUACGUCGUCUAUGUGCCGUGUUCCUUCUUCACUUGCGAUCUCGAUCGAGGUAAAUCUGAGCACGUAGACGAUGGUCCUAGUAUGCGUACGUAGGACAGGAGCACACACGCUCUCACAGUCUUGUUCUUUAAUUCCUGGUGUUUGCACAAAUCCACCGUUGUGGUUUUCUCAGCAUCCGGCGUCGGCUUGAAGAAAUGCAUGCUCAUAAUUCAAAGUGCUGAUGAACUAGCAGGUUAUUUGCAUGUAUAUAUGGAUCUAUCGCAAUUGCAUAUAUAUAUACCUUUCUGUCAUAAACUGCAUGCGCGACCAGCAGGUGAAGAUUAGUUGAUCUCACGAAGAUGGAUCCGGAAGAAAGAUUAUUGUACGUACUCGAUCGUGAAGUAGUCGAUGUCAUAGUGUGUGUGUAGAUGUUCAAGCAUGACAUCGCACACUGUGAUCUACCACUACUGGAGUCGAACACGGCAUCGGAGAUCAGAGCUGUAACUGAUGAAGGGGCAGUGUAUAGUUUACUGCCAAGCCUCCAGGCAUCUGGCCUGAUAAUUCCUUGUCGGCUCCUCCUUUGAAUUUCUGUGUGAGGUUGUGUGUAAUGCAUAUCCAGCAGCCACUCGACAGGCUUCUAACGAUGCUUUAUUCGAUC
This 655-nucleotide long non-coding RNA is filed under the name Zea mays. Its description in RNAcentral is "long non-coding RNA NONZMAT000027". Lineage: Eukaryota; Viridiplantae; Streptophyta; Magnoliopsida; Poales; Poaceae. The record is from RNAcentral.